GUCCACGCCCUAAACGAUGUCAACUGGUUGUUGGGAAUUCACUUUCUCAGUAACGAAGCUAACGCGUGAAGUUGACCGCCUGGGGGAGUACGGCCGCAAGGUUGAAACUCAAAGGAAUUGACGGGGACCCACACAAGCGGUGGAUGAUGUGGUUUAAUUCGAUGCAACGCGAAAAACCUUACCCACCUUUGACAUGUACGGAAUCCUUUAGAGAUAGAGGAGUGCUCGAAAGAGAGCUGUAACACAGGUGCUGCAUGGCUGUCGU
This 265-nucleotide ribosomal RNA is filed under the name uncultured bacterium. Its description in RNAcentral is "partial 16S ribosomal RNA". It matches the Rfam family "Bacterial small subunit ribosomal RNA", at positions 793 to 1055 of the family's 1533-position model. The record is from RNAcentral.